UGGCUAUGUGAUAUCUUUCAGUAAUUGCAAGUACUCCCAGAUCUGUGUUCAGUGUCUUCGGUGUACUUCUAAGUUGUUUAUUACUGUGGGGUGUUUUGAUGAGUAAAUAUAACAAUAAACCCUUUACAACGGAUUUUUACAGCAUUUUUUUUUCGUUAUGUUGUAAUACGACUAUCAAAGGUUUAGGCGCCAGAAACGAUUUUAACCCCGCCACAUGCUGCAUAUAUGUCUGUUAUAUGGUGCAUAAUAGGCUUAUCAUUAGCUUCG
Molecule: long non-coding RNA, 267 nt
Filed under: Mytilus galloprovincialis (Mediterranean mussel)
Lineage: Eukaryota; Metazoa; Mollusca; Bivalvia; Mytilida; Mytilidae
Source: RNAcentral